GACGAACGCUGGCGGCGUGCUUAACACAUGCAAGUCACGGGGGUCCCGGGGGCAACCUUGGGAUAACCGGCGAACGGGUGCGUAACACGUGAACAACCUGCCCUCGUGUGGGGGAUAGCCGGGCUAACGCCCGGGUAAUACCGCAUACGUUCCUUUGGGGGAGUCCCCGAGGGAGGAAAGCUCCGGCGCACGGGGAGGGGUUCGCGGCCUAUCAGCUAGUUGGUGCGGUAACGGCGCACCAAGGCGACGACGGGUAGCUGGUCUGAGAGGAUGGCCAGCCACAUUGGGACUGAGAGACGGCCCAGACUCCUACGGGAGGCAGCAGUGGGGAAUCUUGCGCAAUGGCCGAAAGGCUGACGCAGCGACGCCGCGUGGGGGAUGAAGCAUUUCGGUGUGUAAACCCUGUUGCCCGGGACGAAUCCACCUUUUCGAGGGUGUUGACGGUACCGGGUGAGGAAG
This 459-nucleotide ribosomal RNA is filed under the name uncultured bacterium. Its description in RNAcentral is "bacterial SSU rRNA". It matches the Rfam family "Bacterial small subunit ribosomal RNA", at positions 28 to 490 of the family's 1533-position model. The record is from RNAcentral.